This 354-nucleotide ribosomal RNA is filed under the name uncultured Halomonas sp. Its description in RNAcentral is "bacterial SSU rRNA". It matches the Rfam family "Bacterial small subunit ribosomal RNA", at positions 139 to 488 of the family's 1533-position model. The record is from RNAcentral. Lineage: Bacteria; Pseudomonadati; Pseudomonadota; Gammaproteobacteria; Oceanospirillales; Halomonadaceae.
GGGGAUAACCUGGGGAAACCCAGGCUAAUACCGCAUACGUCCUACGGGAGAAAGCAGGGGAUCUUCGGACCUUGCGCUAUCGGAUGAGCCUAUGUCGGAUUAGCUUGUUGGUGAGGUAAUGGCUCACCAAGGCGACGAUCCGUAGCUGGUCUGAGAGGAUGAUCAGCCACAUCGGGACUGAGACACGGCCCGAACUCCUACGGGAGGCAGCAGUGGGGAAUAUUGGACAAUGGGCGAAAGCCUGAUCCAGCCAUGCCGCGUGUGUGAAGAAGGCUUUCGGGUUGUAAAGCACUUUCAGUGAGGAAGAAGGCCUUGGGGCUAAUACCCCCGAGGAAGGACAUCACUCACAGCGGG